UUAAGCGACUAAGCGUACACGGUGGAUGCCCUGGCAGUCAGAGGCGAUGAAGGACGUGCUAAUCUGCGAUAAGCGUCGGUAAGGUGAUAUGAACCGUUAUAACCGGCGAUUUCCGAAUGGGGAAACCCAGUGUGAUUCGUCACACUAUCAUUAACUGAAUCCAUAGGUUAAUGAGGCGAACCGGGGGAACUGAAACAUCUAAGUACCCCGAGGAAAAGAAAUCAACCGAGAUUCCCCCAGUAGCGGCGAGCGAACGGGGAGCAGCCCAGAGCCUGAAUCAGUGUGUGUGUUAGUGGAAGCGUCUGGAAAGGCGUGCGAUACAGGGUGACAGCCCCGUACACAAAAAUGCACAUGCUGUGAGCUCGAUGAGUAGGGCGGGACACGUGGUAUCCUGUCUGAAUAUGGGGGGACCAUCCUCCAAGGCUAAAUACUCCUGACUGACCGAUAGUGAACCAGUACCGUGAGGGAAAGGCGAAAAGAACCCCGGCGAGGGGAGUGAAAAAGAACCUGAAACCGUGUACGUACAAGCAGUGGGAGCACAGAGCAAUCUGUGUGACUGCGUACCUUUUGUAUAAUGGGUCAGCGACUUAUAUUCUGUAGCAAGGUUAACCGAAUAGGGGAGCCGAAGGGAAACCGAGUCUUAACUGGGCGUUAAGUUGCAGGGUAUAGACCCGAAACCCGGUGAUCUAGCCAUGGGCAGGUUGAAGGUUGGGUAACACUAACUGGAGGACCGAACCGACUAAUGUUGAAAAAUUAGCGGAUGACUUGUGGCUGGGGGUGAAAGGCCAAUCAAACCGGGAGAUAGCUGGUUCUCCCCGAAAGCUAUUUAGGUAGCGCCUCGUGAAUUCAUCUCCGGGGGUAGAGCACUGUUUCGGCAAGGGGGUCAUCCCGACUUACCAACCCGAUGCAAACUGCGAAUACCGGAGAAUGUUAUCACGGGAGACACACGGCGGGUGCUAACGUCCGUCGUGAAGAGGAAACAACCCAGACCGCCAGCUAAGGUCCCAAAGUCAUGGUUAAGUGGGAAACGAUGUGGGAAGGCCCAGACAGCCAGGAUGUUGGCUUAGAAGCAGCCAUCAUUUAAAGAAAGCGUAAUAGCUCACUGGUCGAGUCGGCCUGCGCGGAAGAUGUAACGGGGCUAAACCAUGCACCGAAGCUGCGGCAGCGACGCUUAUGCGUUGUUGGGUAGGGGAGCGUUCUGUAAGCCUGCGAAGGUGUGCUGUGAGGCAUGCUGGAGGUAUCAGAAGUGCGAAUGCUGACAUAAGUAACGAUAAAGCGGGUGAAAAGCCCGCUCGCCGGAAGACCAAGGGUUCCUGUCCAACGUUAAUCGGGGCAGGGUGAGUCGACCCCUAAGGCGAGGCCGAAAGGCGUAGUCGAUGGGAAACAGGUUAAUAUUCCUGUACUUGGUGUUACUGCGAAGGGGGGACGGAGAAGGCUAUGUUGGCCGGGCGACGGUUGUCCCGGUUUAAGCGUGUAGGCUGGUUUUCCAGGCAAAUCCGGAAAAUCAAGGCUGAGGCGUGAUGACGAGGCACUACGGUGCUGAAGCAACAAAUGCCCUGCUUCCAGGAAAAGCCUCUAAGCAUCAGGUAACAUCAAAUCGUACCCCAAACCGACACAGGUGGUCAGGUAGAGAAUACCAAGGCGCUUGAGAGAACUCGGGUGAAGGAACUAGGCAAAAUGGUGCCGUAACUUCGGGAGAAGGCACGCUGAUAUGUAGGUGAAGUCCCUCGCGGAUGGAGCUGAAAUCAGUCGAAGAUACCAGCUGGCUGCAACUGUUUAUUAAAAACACAGCACUGUGCAAACACGAAAGUGGACGUAUACGGUGUGACGCCUGCCCGGUGCCGGAAGGUUAAUUGAUGGGGUUAGCGCAAGCGAAGCUCUUGAUCGAAGCCCCGGUAAACGGCGGCCGUAACUAUAACGGUCCUAAGGUAGCGAAAUUCCUUGUCGGGUAAGUUCCGACCUGCACGAAUGGCGUAAUGAUGGCCAGGCUGUCUCCACCCGAGACUCAGUGAAAUUGAACUCGCUGUGAAGAUGCAGUGUACCCGCGGCAAGACGGAAAGACCCCGUGAACCUUUACUAUAGCUUGACACUGAACAUUGAGCCUUGAUGUGUAGGAUAGGUGGGAGGCUUUGAAGUGUGGACGCCAGUCUGCAUGGAGCCGACCUUGAAAUACCACCCUUUAAUGUUUGAUGUUCUAACGUUGACCCGUAAUCCGGGUUGCGGACAGUGUCUGGUGGGUAGUUUGACUGGGGCGGUCUCCUCCUAAAGAGUAACGGAGGAGCACGAAGGUUGGCUAAUCCUGGUCGGACAUCAGGAGGUUAGUGCAAUGGCAUAAGCCAGCUUGACUGCGAGCGUGACGGCGCGAGCAGGUGCGAAAGCAGGUCAUAGUGAUCCGGUGGUUCUGAAUGGAAGGGCCAUCGCUCAACGGAUAAAAGGUACUCCGGGGAUAACAGGCUGAUACCGCCCAAGAGUUCAUAUCGACGGCGGUGUUUGGCACCUCGAUGUCGGCUCAUCACAUCCUGGGGCUGAAGUAGGUCCCAAGGGUAUGGCUGUUCGCCAUUUAAAGUGGUACGCGAGCUGGGUUUAGAACGUCGUGAGACAGUUCGGUCCCUAUCUGCCGUGGGCGCUGGAGAACUGAGGGGGGCUGCUCCUAGUACGAGAGGACCGGAGUGGACGCAUCACUGGUGUUCGGGUUGUCAUGCCAAUGGCACUGCCCGGUAGCUAAAUGCGGAAGAGAUAAGUGCUGAAAGCAUCUAAGCACGAAACUUGCCCCGAGAUGAGUUCUCCCUGACUCCUUGAGAGUCCUGAAGGAACGUUGAAGACGACGACGUUGAUAGGCCGGGUGUGUAAGCGCAGCGAUGCGUUGAGCUAACCGGUACUAAUGAACCGUGAGGCUUAACCU
RNAcentral lists this ribosomal RNA (2902 nucleotides) under Escherichia coli. RNAcentral describes it as "23S ribosomal RNA". It matches the Rfam family "Bacterial large subunit ribosomal RNA". The record is from RNAcentral. Lineage: Bacteria; Pseudomonadati; Pseudomonadota; Gammaproteobacteria; Enterobacterales; Enterobacteriaceae.